AGCAUCGCCGCGGGAACACGAAGGGUGCAAGCGUUAAUCGGAAUUACUGGGCGUAAAGCGUGCGUAGGCGGUGAGUUAAGUCUGCUGUGAAAUCCCCGGGCUCAACCUGGGAAUGGCAGUGGAUACUGGCUCGCUAGAGUGUGUCAGAGGAUGGUGGAAUUCCCGGUGUAGCGGUGAAAUGCGUAGAGAUCGGGAGGAACAUCAGUGGCGAAGGCGGCCAUCUGGGACAACACUGACGCUGAGGCACGAAAGCGUGGGGAGCAAACAGGAUUAGAUACCCGAGUAGUCCCUGUCUCUUAUACA
This 303-nucleotide ribosomal RNA is filed under the name uncultured bacterium. RNAcentral's name for it is "partial 16S ribosomal RNA". It matches the Rfam family "Bacterial small subunit ribosomal RNA", at positions 510 to 808 of the family's 1533-position model. The record is from RNAcentral.